UGGCUCAAUUAUUUGUUGUGUUUUAUUUUCACUUAUUUUUAGCAAGCAAAACACACUGAAAAAAAAUAAUAUUCAUUUGGGCCAUAGGAACAUUCAUAUUUGAUAACAUUACUGCCAGUUUAAUAGGAAUGUGCAUUAGGAUUCUGCAGAAUUCUGAAUACCUUGAUAUUAGGUAAACCAAAGACAUUCAUAUAUCUCUGAAUGUGUGUAUAUAACGUGCACAUAUAAUAACAAUAUUAAGUGCCUAUAUUUUUCUACAGACAUUUUAUUUUGCCUGAGGAAUCUACUUAUUUGUGUUAUUCUACUUAAUAUUUUACUAUAUACAGAGGAGAAAUGACAUUUUAUCAUCAUGCAUUUAUUUUCUUAUUAGUCAUCUUUAAGUAAAAUAUUCAAUGACAAUAUAUUCAAAUUGUUUUUAAAAGUUUAUAGUUACUAUCAUUGUAUAAUUACAGUCUGGAGGUAUAAAAUCUUGCAUAAAGUAAAUAAUCUGUUUUAAAAAUAGACCUUGAUUACUCCAGUAACUGACUUUUUCAUUUUGCAGUCUGAAUAUCAAACAUAUUGCAGUCUGAAUUUAAAAAUUUUUAUAGUACUAUGCUACUAAAACAGUAUUAUUAUUUUGCAACAAGAGGCAUAUUUUCAUUGGAUCCCUUUUGAGUGUUUGUUCCUUUUCAUAUUUAGAUAAUUUAGGAACAUUUGAGGAAAAUUAUUUAAGAUGUCAGCAUUUUCUGGAUCUUAGAAGUUAAGCGGUCGGCAUUUUGACUUAUUCCUGACAAGUAAAAAGUUGUUUUCUCUCCAGCGAACUUCUCACAGAAACUAUUCAGCUUAUGACCGAAGUUGUGGUCCAUGUGCAAUGGUGGCAGUUUUAGAAACCUACCUCAGAAGAAAAUGGACAGAAACGGUUUCGACCCACAUUAGAAACUUCGCUGAAGGACAAUGAAGGCAAGCCUCUCUGUAUCACUUACAGAAAUACUAUUUUUGGUGUCAAAGGAGCUGUGUAUGCGUUCACCUGAGGUGUUGGCUAGGCAUUGCCAUGCAUGAGGAAAACCACACUGUUCUUGCAGAUUCUAGGGGGAAAAUUAAAAUGCCAUGAAAUGUAAAGAGCUUGAAGAAUAUGUGUUGCAGCUUCAUUUGACAAGGGAGAUUUGUCAAGCCAUCAGCUCAUACUGAUUAACCUAAUGACCACACAGUAUCCC
This 1193-nucleotide long non-coding RNA is filed under the name Anas platyrhynchos platyrhynchos (common mallard). Its description in RNAcentral is "lncRNA (ENSAPLG00000024509.1)". The record is from RNAcentral. Lineage: Eukaryota; Metazoa; Chordata; Aves; Anseriformes; Anatidae.